This 72-nucleotide transfer RNA is filed under the name Heterocephalus glaber (naked mole-rat). It matches the Rfam family "tRNA". From Rfam's summary of the family: Transfer RNA (tRNA) molecules are approximately 80 nucleotides in length. Their secondary structure includes four short double-helical elements and three loops (D, anti-codon, and T loops). The record is from Rfam by way of RNAcentral. Lineage: Eukaryota; Metazoa; Chordata; Mammalia; Rodentia; Bathyergidae.
GUGGGUGUAGUUCAGUAGUAGAGCUCUUGCCUAGCAUGUGCAAGACCAUGGGUUCCAUUCCCAGCAAACACA